UCUAUUCCUUUUUGUUUGAUUGUUUAGAAAAAACACAUAUAUUAA
Molecule: small RNA, 45 nt
Filed under: Arabidopsis thaliana (thale cress)
Lineage: Eukaryota; Viridiplantae; Streptophyta; Magnoliopsida; Brassicales; Brassicaceae
Description: ATSL085010
Source: RNAcentral